Molecule: ribosomal RNA, 247 nt
Filed under: uncultured bacterium
Lineage: Bacteria
Description: partial 16S ribosomal RNA
Rfam family: Bacterial small subunit ribosomal RNA
Source: RNAcentral
GAUCAUGGCUCAGGACGAACGCUGGCGGCGCGCCUAACACAUGCAAGUCGAACGAGCGAGAGGGAGUUUACUUUCUCGAACGAGUGGCGAACGGGUGAGUAACGCGUGAGGAACCUGCCUACAAAGGAGGGGACAACAGUUAGGAAACGACUGCUAACUACCGCAUAACGCCCACAGCUCGGCAUCGAGCAGGAAGGGAAAAGGAGCAAUCCGUCUUUGAGAUGGCCUCGCGUCCGAUUAGCUUAGG